CUCUCCGCCCGCCUCAUCCUCCCAAAGUGCUGGGAUUACAGGCGUGAGCCACCGCACCCGGCCGAGGACUAUUUUUUGUAGCGGGGAAUCUACUAAACAGUCUGAAGUACACAGCACCAUGAACCGGCAUGGCUUUUGCCUAGAAUGCUCGUCCACCAAGACUUUACCUGUGCACCCCUGAAGACCCGCUGAAAUUCCAGCCCAGCUCUGAAGGCUUCCCAUGACCAGAGGACACACCAAUCCAGCCUUACACUGUGAUUAUUCCUGGUCUCCUACCACAGCCGCCUUUGCCUACCUCUAGGCAGAUUGAGCCAAGCAGGAAUCAGGCCUGACCACCUGAGUAAGAUUUAGAAACUGAGCUUUAAGCUAAAAGCCUCAAAACCAAAGGUGGUUCCUCAGAGACUAUGAUUUUCUAAUUCGUCGUUUUUGAAAUCAGGCUCAAGAACCCGGGAUGAGGAGGAAAAACACGAAGCUGAUUUCUGGAGCAAUUUGGCAUGUUGGAGAGAGAUGGCCCGUUCUUCUUACAGACGAAGAGACUGAGGCCCAAAAGCAGGGAGAGGCGAAAUCAGCGCCCAGGCCUCCUGCCUCUCAGCCUGGGGCCCCUUCACUGCCUUCUUUAAACCUGACGACAAAAGCAAGGCAGGUGGAAUGCGCUGGUAUCAAGGCUCCCUUCACAUCUCCUGGUACAUCCUUUUCCUUUCACCACAACGUGCUUGUCUUCAGUGCACCCUGCUUCAGUGUUCUCAAAUGAGACCUGGAGAGCAAGAGCUAACAUAUUGGGAAUACUACAAUAUUCUACAUGAUAUGCUUCUCAUUUUCACAUAGAAAUGAGAAAACUCUUUCAAUCCCUGACAAUGGCACGGGACAAUCAUAUCUUGAUUGUCAUGGUGAGGAGGUCUACGCUCAGAGGAGGACCUUGUCUAAGAUCACACAGCUAGUAAGUGGCAGAGGCAGGAUUCGAACUCAGAUCUGUCUGAGUCAAAGUCAAAUUUCUUUCCACAACAUUAAACUGCCUCCUAAGUACAUAGAACUGUUAGCAAAGAAGAGCAAUUGUCCCCAGUUUAUAGCUUGAGAAAAUGGAGUCUGCAAGUCUCAGAGAAGAAUAAAGUCCUAUAGUUUCUAAUCAACAAAACUGUGACUAAAAUUCCAACCUGUGUUAAGUGAAAUGGUAGGUACGGGAGAACUCCAAGGUAUGGCCCCACCCUCAAGAGACCAGCCAUCCAUUGAGACCUGUGACUGCUACUGGUGUCUCAACAGGGAAUGGUUCCGAAUGAGUGCGUUGGUGAGGCACAGGUUGGGUGGUAUAAAUAAUGAAGGCUGAAGAGUCUGAGGUGGUGAUCAGUGCUGAGUCCAGACUGCUGCCCUGUCUGCAUAUCUGCUAAAAUGGUCUUUGCUGGAGGCCAUGGAUCCUCUUACAUUAUUUAUCAGAAUCUCUUAUCAUCUGGAAAUAAGAAAACCCAAAUCAAUUGUUGACAAACAUUUUGCAGUAAUUGCAUCUCCUUACUAAGGGCUGGACUAUCUCUCUUUGAAGAAUGAAGCUGGAGAGUGUAAUUGCUGGUCAGUUCUUCUCCUCACAAUGACCUGAGUAAAGACUCUGAGGCCAGGGAGAGUGGGAGCCUCUCCCCUCAAUGUUACCUCCAAAAGGAACAGGGGAUAAAUACCCUUGUAAGACAGUUGGCCUCAUUUUGUGGAUGUGAAUUCAAUGGCUCACAGCUCCAUUCUACUCAUCCUGGCUCCGGCUUAAGUUUUAAAAACUAAUUCUCUCUGCAUUAAUCUGAAAAGAUCCUUCAAACAAAAGCUCAACAUCUGAGUCUAUUUACCGAGUGUGCAGCUGUGUCAAUUGGCCAAGACAAAGCGAAGGCUUCCUGGUCAGCCCACAAUGGGCGGCAGGUAGUCUUGCAAACAGAGAAACACAAGGCAGGGGCCUUUCACGAGUCAGCAAACCUCCUUCCAACAAGGAAGAGCUGGAGCAGAGGGGUCAGGAGGAUGGAGUGCCGCCCCACCCCCACUCUCACCAGCACACAAGUGGGACUGAAAGGUAUCCACGAGAGACCUAGAAUCGUCCAAGUCACAGAGACAGAAAGUCAAAUUCAUGGAGACCAAAGGGAGGAGGCAUGAGUUUCCUGGGCGCAGAGUUUCAGUCUGGGAAGAUGAAAGAAUUCUGGAGACGGAUGGUGGUGAUGGUUGUACAACAAUGUGAAUGUACUUCAUGCCACUGAACUCUAUACUUCAAAUGGCUAAAUCGGCAGAGUUGAGAACCACUGAAUUCUGUUCUGAAAACAUCAGCAAGACCUUUCAUGGAUAUUAUAGAUGGAAAGAAUCCCAAGAGACCAGUGAAGCAAGAAAUUAUCAAAGCUGCGGUAUUUACGAAGUCACUUUGUGCCAGUGCCCCAGCAAGCUGCCACCAUGGCUGCCAAGCCCUGUCACCCUUGCUGAUCAGUACAGAGAGGGGCUCGCUGCGCUGGGUAGAGGAAGCAGGAAGUUUGCUGAACUCAGACGGAAGAAAAAGGAUUCCUCUGGAGAAUCCCAGCAGGUUUCUGAUUGGACAUGGGUCCAUGUCCUUGUGAAGUCUCCUCCUCCUGAACCUGCCCUGCUCUGUGACUUGCUUUUGACCACCAGCAUGCUGCAGAAGUGAUGCCGUGUGACUUCUGAGUGGGUCAUAGGAAGCCUUGCAGUGUGGCCUGGGUCUUCAGGAAUGCUUGUUUGAGGAAAACCACUGUCAUGUAAGAAGUAUGGCUACCCUGAGACUGUCAUGGUGUGAGGACUCCUAAAUGAGUCACAUGUGGAUGGCCACCUAUUCAGGCCUCAGUUCUUCCAGCCAUUGCGACUGUGGCCCACGCAUGUGGGGGAAGAGGCCAUUUUUCACGCCCAUCCCAGUUGAGUCUUUAGAUGAUCCCUUCCUGGGCCUCCAGCUGACUGUAACCAGACUCCAGGCAGGAACCACAUAGGAACUGAACCCAGUCAACCCACAGGCUGGGGAGGAUGAUAGUCCAUUGUUGUAUAAAGCCACUGCAUUUGGAAUGGUCUGUUGUAUACUACCUAAUCAGAACAAGACUCAAUCCUUUCUUCAUAGCUGGUAGUCUUAAGCAUUUAUUAAUUCAUAUUUUAGUCACAUUAUGAAUUUUCUAUCACAAUAAGCAUUUAUUGAGCACUUUUUAUAGAGGGACUAUGCUAGGCUUGAAGAAUAAAAGACACAUAGGACACGGCCCUGCUUAUGUUCAGGUAGCUGUGGUCUAAACGAGGACGCACACAUAAGGUGAAGACCCCAUGAGAUGGAAUACACGGGGAUAACAAGCCUCACAGUGGACUGGUCGCUUUACCAGGGGUGAGGCGAUUCUGCCUAUAAGGUAGGGAAGGACUUUCUGAAAGGGUGACACUGAGUUCCACCUUGAAAAAUGCCUGAGAAUUCACCCAUAGACACAGUGGAAGAGGGGUGUUCCGAGGAAGGGAGAUCAAUGUGCAGAGAGACAGAAAUCCCGGUUCGCUUAUUCCCAACAAGGCAGAGAACAAACCUCUCCCAGUGAUGCCCUCCCUUGUUCCCGUCCCCAAUCUUUUGAUAAUAGUGGGAAGGGUUUCAAAGUGAGGGUUAAAAAUGGGCUGGUUUUGCCACCCCUUAGUAAGUCUUGGGCAGGAUUCUCAACUCUUGACACUCAUUAAAAUCACCUGGGAAGCUUUUGCAAAACUCCAGCAUGGUACAACUACUUUAGAAACUGGUGUUAUCCAUUAAAACUAAACAUUUGCUUAUCUUAGCAAUUCCACUCCUAGGUUUAUAGAGUAAACAGAAACACAUACGUGCCUGUGUCAAAAAACAUGUAUAGGCAUGUUCAAGACCACACUGUUUGGCCAAGUGCCCUAGUUCAUGCCUGUAAUCCCAGCAUCUUGGGAGGCCAAGGCGGGAGUAUUGCUUGAGGCCAGGAGUUUGA
RNAcentral lists this long non-coding RNA (3923 nucleotides) under Homo sapiens (human). Its description in RNAcentral is "HSALNT0317186". The record is from RNAcentral. Lineage: Eukaryota; Metazoa; Chordata; Mammalia; Primates; Hominidae.